Molecule: ribosomal RNA, 253 nt
Filed under: [Lactobacillus] rogosae
Lineage: Bacteria; Bacillati; Bacillota; Clostridia; Lachnospirales; Lachnospiraceae
Description: Lactobacillus rogosae partial 16S ribosomal RNA
Rfam family: Bacterial small subunit ribosomal RNA
Source: RNAcentral
UACGUAUGGAGCAAGCGUUAUCCGGAUUUACUGGGUGUAAAGGGAGUGUAGGUGGCCAGGCAAGUCAGAAGUGAAAGCCCGGGGCUCAACCCCGGGACUGCUUUUGAAACUGCAGGGCUAGAGUGCAGGAGGGGCGAGUGGAAUUCCUAGUGUAGCGGUGAAAUGCGUAGAUAUUAGGAGGAACACCAGUGGCGAAGGCGGCUUGCUGGACUGUAACUGACACUGAGGCUCGAAAGCGUGGGGAGCAAACAGG